GGAGUAACAAAAAGAAGUCCAUAGGAUUAUGGAAAAAUACAAAGAUGAUCUCAAUAAACCUGGACUGGGUUUACUUUAAUAUAGCCCAGGCAACUUAAAAACUGUUGCUUGUAAACAAAUAAACAAUUAGAAGAAUCGAAUAGAAACAUUAUGGAAAGUUCCACCUACAUUUGUUCUCCCUCAAAUUUCCUUCCCCCUCCAUCAACAAAAAGAUGUACCAUAAAAACAAUAUAUACUACCCCUCCUAUUAAUUUGAUUUGUUUGGCUAAACACGAAAAUGAGUUAAUAGAGUCUUAUCUCGCUAGGCGACAAGCUGAUCAAGUUGCAUCUGCUCAA
Molecule: unclassified non-coding RNA, 336 nt
Filed under: Hevea brasiliensis (rubber tree)
Lineage: Eukaryota; Viridiplantae; Streptophyta; Magnoliopsida; Malpighiales; Euphorbiaceae
Source: RNAcentral